CCCAAGUACCCCGCGGGGCCCACCACCCCGCGGCCCCUUACCUUGGCCUGGCAUUUCCGAUGACAGGAGAAGCUGCAAGCUGCAAGGGGCGAGGCAGAAAGAAAGUUUUAGCCGCGAGACACAGCCGGGUACACAGCGAUGCCAAGGAGACCCCCUGACCCAGGCUGCCAACACGCACCAUUUCAUGGGAGACCUUCGGAGUCCACCCGACACAGACAUGCGCUGGAGCGCGCGAGCGCGCGCGAACACACACUCACGACUCGCUCCCUCCUCCCACUACCAGAAGCUGGAAUCAAAUUUCCUAUCAGGUUCCCAAAGCCUGGAAUGUCCCCAGCCCUGCCUCUCCACCCCCUAGAGCCCUGGAACUCCUCCGAGGCAACUGGCUGCCUCGCUCCUCCCUCCCCACCCCACCACCCCACCUUUCUUGUCAAGGGUUGGGCUGAGGAGGUCUUCCCAGCUAGUUUCUGGGCCAAUUUGGAUCUUGGUGGCUGCCCGGGACCUGCUGAGGUCGGUGGAUCAGGCACUGCUUAGAGAACCUGGGCAGGAAAGAAGGGGAGCCACUCUGACCCCCGGACCUUAGCCCCAGCCCAGGGCAGUGGCCAGCUUGGCCCUUCUGUCCCAUCUACAGCAGCUCACCCCAUCCAUCCUCCAGCUGACCUGAUCUCAGCAGAGCACCACGGAGGGACCGAAGUGCAGAUUCAGGCUGGAGCAGCCCAGGGGCUCCAGCCUAUGACUCAGCCAGUGAUGAGCAAGGCUUUCCUGACCCCAGUAGCCACCCAGCCCCACUCAGCCCCAGGGAACGUGAAAUGGAGAAGGCCUCUGCCACCUGACCUGAGUUUGGAAGAUCCUCACUGCCACCAGUCUGAGGGAGCUUCCUCCAUCAUCACCAUCUGGAUUCCCACCCUCCUUCAAGAAAGGGAUCUGUGUGUGUGUGUGUGUGUGUGUGUGUGUGUGUGUCAGAGUAGUACCUGCUACACAGCAGAAGCUUAAUAAGUGUGUGCUGAGUUGAACCUGACAGAUCUCCCCUAGAGUUUAUAUUUACCUCAUUAAAUCACCUUG
This is a long non-coding RNA of Heterocephalus glaber (naked mole-rat), 1059 nucleotides long. RefSeq lists it as uncharacterized. Lineage: Eukaryota; Metazoa; Chordata; Mammalia; Rodentia; Bathyergidae. The record is from RefSeq and is a predicted model, not a curated record.